GAGUUUGAUCGUGGCUCAGGACGAACGCUGGCGGCGUGCCUAAUACAUGCAAGUCGAGCGAGCAGAACCAGCAGAUUUACUUCGGUAAUGACGCUGGGGACGCGAGCGGCGGAUGGGUGAGUAACACGUGGGGAACCUGCCCCAUAGUCUGGGAUACCACUUGGAAACAGGUGCUAAUACCGGAUAAGAAAGCAGAUCGCAUGAUCAGCUUAUAAAAGGCGGCGUAAGCUGUCGCUAUGGGAU
Molecule: ribosomal RNA, 243 nt
Filed under: uncultured bacterium
Lineage: Bacteria
Description: partial 16S ribosomal RNA
Rfam family: Bacterial small subunit ribosomal RNA
Source: RNAcentral